RNAcentral lists this ribosomal RNA (465 nucleotides) under Vreelandella stevensii. RNAcentral describes it as "partial 16S ribosomal RNA". It matches the Rfam family "Bacterial small subunit ribosomal RNA", at positions 338 to 795 of the family's 1533-position model. The record is from RNAcentral. Lineage: Bacteria; Pseudomonadati; Pseudomonadota; Gammaproteobacteria; Oceanospirillales; Halomonadaceae.
CCUACGGAGGGCUGCAGUGGGGAAUAUUGGACAAUGGGGGGAACCCUGAUCCAGCCAUGCCGCGUGUGAGAAGAAGGCCCUCGGGUUGUAAAGCACUUUCAGUGAGGAAGAACGCCUGGUGGUUAAUACCCAUCAGGAAAGACAUCACUCACAGAAGAAGCACCGGCUAACUCCGUGCCAGCAGCCGCGGUAAUACGGAGGGUGCGAGCGUUAAUCGGAAUUACUGGGCGUAAAGCGCGCGUAGGUGGCUUGAUAAGCCGGUUGUGAAAGCCCCGGGCUCAACCUGGGAACGGCAUCCGGAACUGUCAAGCUAGAGUGCAGGAGAGGAAGGUAGAAUUCCCGGUGUAGCGGUGAAAUGCGUAGAGAUCGGGAGGAAUACCAGUGGCGAAGGCGGCCUUCUGGACUGACACUGACACUGAGGUGCGAAAGCGUGGGUAGCAAACAGGAUUAGAUACCCCGGUAGUC